This is a long non-coding RNA of Syzygium oleosum, 694 nucleotides long. RefSeq lists it as uncharacterized. NCBI's taxonomy places the organism in Eukaryota, Viridiplantae, Streptophyta, Magnoliopsida, Myrtales, Myrtaceae. The transcript has 4 exons. The record is from RefSeq and is a predicted model, not a curated record.
CUUCUUACCUCUUCUUCCUUUCGAGCAGCGGCUUCUUCGGCUCCUCCAUCAUCUGUCGUCUGCAGAGCACCGGCCACCACCCCCGUCACUCGUGGUAGAGGUGCAAUUCCGGCCUUCCUUCUCGCUCGCUCGCUGGAACGCCCCGCGCGAGAUUGCCAGCAACCGAAUACCCUCGAGGGCCGGCGUGGUGUUUGUUCCCGGUUCGAGGGUCUCGAGCUCCCGAUUACGCGCAUUACGGUUCCGUCCCCGCCUCGAUUGGCCGGCGACGGACGUCCGUCGAUCGGAUUUAGCCCCCGCGGUUUCUGAUGUCUGGCGGUUUCUGGCGAUUCGUCUUUGCAGGUGGCACGACGCCGGGACUUACGACGCGAGGACGAAGACCGCCGGUCCGAACGGCUCGAUUCGGAACAAGGAAGAGUACUCCCACGGUGCCAAUGCUGGCUUGAAGAUCGCUCUUGAUUUCUGUGCUAGCAGGAGUUGUUGCAGUAGAAGUCACUAGAGGUCCCACUGUCGACUUUGUUCCCGGAAGAAAGGCACCUGCAGCUAAAGAAGUCUGUGGCAAAAGUAGCUGAUAAGAAGGGGAAAACAGUUGAAGUGGAGAAGCAAGAGCAACUAGAUCCUCUUGCUGGAAAACUACGGCAACAGUGGUUAAAUGGCAUCACAGAAAGAGGUAUUCAAUGCAAAGUGGACCGAGCCU